CUAGGAUGAACGCUAGCGACAGGCCUAACACAUGCAAGUCGAGGGGCAGCACAAGGAGCAAUCUGAGGUGGCGACCGGCGCACGGGUGAGUAACACGUAUGCAACCUGCCUGUAAGCGGGGAAUAACCCGUUGAAAGACGGACUAAUACCGCAUAAUACUAAAUUACUGCAUGGUAAUUUAUUUAAACAUUUAUGGCUUACAGAUGGGCAUGCGCAUGAUUAGCUAGUUGGAGAGGUAACGGCUCCCCAAGGCAACGAUCAUUAGGGGUUCUGAGAGGAAGGUCCCCACACUGGUACUGAGACACGGACCAGACUCCUACGGGAGGCAGCAGUGAGGAAUAUUGGUCAAUGGACGAGAGUCUGAACCAGCCAAGUCGCGUGCAGGAAGAAUGUCCUAAUGGAUUGUAAACUGCUUUUGCAGGGGAAUAAAGUGCAUCACGUGUGAUGUUUUGUAUGUACUCUGCGAAUAAGGAUCGGCUAACUCCGUGCCAGCAGCGGC
RNAcentral lists this ribosomal RNA (499 nucleotides) under uncultured bacterium. RNAcentral describes it as "bacterial SSU rRNA". It matches the Rfam family "Bacterial small subunit ribosomal RNA", at positions 26 to 518 of the family's 1533-position model. The record is from RNAcentral.